RNAcentral lists this ribosomal RNA (171 nucleotides) under uncultured bacterium. Its description in RNAcentral is "partial 16S ribosomal RNA". It matches the Rfam family "Bacterial small subunit ribosomal RNA", at positions 334 to 522 of the family's 1533-position model. The record is from RNAcentral.
UACUCCUACGGGAGGCAGCAGCGGGGAAUAUUGGACAAUGGGCGAAAGCCUGAUCCAGCCAUGCCGCGUGAGCGAUGAAGGCCUUAGGGUUGUAAAGCUCUUUCAGUGGGGAAGAUAAUGACUGUACCCACAGAAGAAGCCCCGGCUAACUCCGUGCCAGCAGCCGCGGUA